GACGGGACCCGCACAAGCGGUGGAUGAUGUGGUUUAAUUCGAUGCAACGCGAAAACCUUACCCACCUUUGACAUGGCAGGAAUCCUAAAGAGAUUUGGGAGUGCUCGAAAGAGAACCUGCACACAGGUGCUGCAUGGCUGUCGUCAGCUCGUGUCGUGAGAUGUUGGGUUAAGUCCCGCAACGAGCGCAACCCUUGCCAUUAGUUGCUACGAAAGGGCACUCUAAUGGGACUGCCGGUGACAAACCGGAGGAAGGUGGGGAUGACGUCAAGUCCUCAUGGCCCUUAUAGGUGGGGCUACACACGUCAUACAAUGGCUGGUACAAAGGGUUGCCAACCCGCGAGGGGGAGCCAAUCCCAUAAAGCCAGUCGUAGUCCGGAUCGCAGUCUGCAACUCGACUGCGUGAAGUCGGAAUCACUAGUAAUCGUGGAUCAGCAUGUCACGGUGAAUACGUUCCCGGGUCUU
RNAcentral lists this ribosomal RNA (464 nucleotides) under uncultured Allobrachymonas sp. RNAcentral's name for it is "bacterial SSU rRNA". It matches the Rfam family "Bacterial small subunit ribosomal RNA", at positions 916 to 1381 of the family's 1533-position model. Lineage: Bacteria; Pseudomonadati; Pseudomonadota; Betaproteobacteria; Burkholderiales; Comamonadaceae. The record is from RNAcentral.